Molecule: ribosomal RNA, 420 nt
Filed under: uncultured eukaryote
Lineage: Eukaryota
Description: bacterial SSU rRNA
Rfam family: Eukaryotic small subunit ribosomal RNA
Source: RNAcentral
CAAUAGCGUAUAUUGAAAUUGUUGCGGUUAGAAAACUCGUAGCUGGAUUUCUGCCGAGGACAACUGGUUUGCCCUCUGGGUGCGUAUCUGGCUUGCCUGGGCAUCCUCUUGGAGAAAGUAGCUGCACUUGAUUGUGUGGUGCGGUUUCAUGAUUUUUACUCUGAGGAAAGUAGAGUGUUUCAGGCAGGCAUGCACCUUGAAUACAUUAGCUGGGAAUAAUAAGAUAGGACUUCGAUUCUAUUUUGUUGAUUUCCAGAGCUGAGAUAAUCAUUAAUAGGGAUAGUUGGGGGCAUGCGUAUUUAACUGUCAGAGGUGAAAUUCUUGGAUCUGUCAAAGAUGGACUACUGCGAAAGCACUUGCCAAGGAUGUUUCCAUUGAUCAAGAACGAAAGUUAGGGGAUCGAAGACGAUUAGAUACCAU